This 444-nucleotide ribosomal RNA is filed under the name uncultured bacterium. Its description in RNAcentral is "partial 16S ribosomal RNA". It matches the Rfam family "Bacterial small subunit ribosomal RNA", at positions 338 to 795 of the family's 1533-position model. The record is from RNAcentral.
CCUACGGGAGGCAGCAGUGGGGGAUAUUGGACAAUGGGGGGGAACCCUGAUCCAGCGACGCCGCGUGAGUGAAGAAGUAUUUCGGUAUGUAAAGCUCUGUCAUCAGGGAAGAAAGCAAUGACGGUACCUGACCAAGAAGCCCCGGCUAACUACGUGCCAGCAGCCGCGGGAAUACGUAGGGGGCAAGCGUUAUCCGGAAUUACUGGGUGUAAAGGGAGCGUAGACGGCUGUGCAAGUCUGGAGUGAAAGGCGGGGGCCCAACCCCCGGACUGCUCUGGAAACUGUAUGGCUGGAGUGCAGGAGAGGUAAGCGGAAUUCCUAGUGUAGCGGUGAAAUGCGUAGAUAUUAGGAGGAACACCAGUGGCGAAGGCGGCUUACUGGACUGUAACUGACGUUGAGGCUCGAAAGCGUGGGGAGCAAACAGGAUUAGAUACCCCUGUAGUC